UACGAGUGCCCCGAGCGUUAUCCGGAAUUAUUGGGUGUAAAGGGUGUGUAGGCGGUUUUGUUAGUCUUUUGUUAAAUAUCCCGGCUUAACCGGGAAAGGGCAAAGGAAACGGCAAGACUUGAGAGUGCGAGGGGUGAACAGAACUCAUAGUGUAGGGGUGAAAUCCGUUGAUAUUAUGGGGAAUACCAAAAGCGAAGGCAGUUCACUGGCGCAUUUCUGACGCUGAGACACGAAAGCGUGGGUAGCGAAUGGG
RNAcentral lists this ribosomal RNA (253 nucleotides) under uncultured bacterium. Its description in RNAcentral is "partial 16S ribosomal RNA". It matches the Rfam family "Bacterial small subunit ribosomal RNA", at positions 524 to 776 of the family's 1533-position model. The record is from RNAcentral.